CUGGCCCUGAAUCAAGGCCGGCAGCUUCCUGACACUGUUGGUUUCAAGCAAGAGCCUAAAGAGAUGUCUUUCUAUAGUCUGUUGGCCAUUUCAGAAUGUGGUCAAUUCAUUAGAAAAAAACAGCU
Small nucleolar RNA from Cavia porcellus (domestic guinea pig), 125 nucleotides. NCBI's taxonomy places the organism in Eukaryota, Metazoa, Chordata, Mammalia, Rodentia, Caviidae. The record is from Ensembl.